AUUGAACGCUGGCGGCAUGCCUUACACAUGCAAGUCGAACGGCAGCGCGGGGCAACCUGGCGGCGAGUGGCGAACGGGUGAGUAAUAUAUCGGAACGUACCCUGGAGUGGGGGAGUAACGUAGCGAAGUUAACGCUAAUACCGCAUACGAUCUAAGGAUGAAAGGUAGGGGAGUCGCAAGACCUCAUGCUCCUGGAGCGGCCGAUAUCUGAUUAGCUAGUUGGGGGUAAGGCCUACCAAGGCAUCGAUC
This 249-nucleotide ribosomal RNA is filed under the name uncultured bacterium. RNAcentral describes it as "partial 16S ribosomal RNA". It matches the Rfam family "Bacterial small subunit ribosomal RNA", at positions 30 to 281 of the family's 1533-position model. The record is from RNAcentral.